RNAcentral lists this ribosomal RNA (224 nucleotides) under uncultured bacterium. Its description in RNAcentral is "partial 16S ribosomal RNA". It matches the Rfam family "Bacterial small subunit ribosomal RNA", at positions 328 to 538 of the family's 1533-position model. The record is from RNAcentral.
ACGCUCGACACCUACGGGAGGCAGCAGUUAGGAAUAUUCGUCAAUGGAGGAAACUCUGAACGAGCAAUGCCGCGUGAGCGAUGAAGGCCCUAUGGGUCGUAAAGCUCUGUUGUAAAGGAAGAAUACUUGAUAUAGGAAAUGAUAUCAAGCUGACGGUACUUUACCAGAAAGCCCCGGCUAACUACGUGCCGCAGCAGCGGUAAUCUGAGCGGGCGUGGCAAGGC